RNAcentral lists this long non-coding RNA (207 nucleotides) under Elaeis guineensis (African oil palm). Its description in RNAcentral is "long non-coding RNA (EGUI_LNC018139)". The record is from RNAcentral. Lineage: Eukaryota; Viridiplantae; Streptophyta; Magnoliopsida; Arecales; Arecaceae.
CAGAUGCCAAAUGGUUGGAGGGUUAGAGUUUAAAAAUUCAACAAAGAGAUGCCAUAGAUUCUAUCAUUCGAGUAAGUUUCUUCGAUCCUACUCCUUUUGCAUUUUUUUAGUAACUAACUCACUUGCUUUUAUAGUUUGGUCAUUAUGUUGCUAUUUUUACCAACUCUAUAAAGGUGGCACAAUCGAAGGUCAUCAAUGCCCAUACCG